This 106-nucleotide small nuclear RNA is filed under the name Colobus angolensis palliatus. Lineage: Eukaryota; Metazoa; Chordata; Mammalia; Primates; Cercopithecidae. The record is from RNAcentral.
GUACUCACCUUGGCAGCACAUAUACUGAAAUUGGAAUGAUACAGAGAAGAUUAGCAUGGCGUCAGUGCACGGAUAACAAGAAACUUGUGAAGCAUUCCAUACUUUU